GUGGGGAAUAUUGGACAAUGGGCGAAAGCCUGAUCCAGCCAUGCCGCGUGUGUGAAGAAGGUCUUCGGAUUGUAAAGCACUUUAAGUUGGGAGGAAGGGCAGUAAGUUAAUACCUUGCUGUUUUGACGUUACCGACAGAAUAAGCACCGGCUAACUUCGUGCCAGCAGCCGCGGUAAUACGAAGGGUGCAAGCGUUAAUCGGAAUUACUGGGCGUAAAGCGCGCGUAGGUGGUUUUGUAAGUUGGAGGUGAAAUCCCCGGGCUCAACCUGGGAACUGCCACCAAAACUGCAUGACUAGAGUACGGUAGAGGGUAGUGGAAUUUCCUGUGUAGCGGUGAAAUGCGUAGAUAUAGGAAGGAACACCAGUGGCGAAGGCGACUACCUGGACUGAUACUGACACUGAGGUGCGAAAGCGUGGGGAGCAAACAGGAUUAGAUACCCGGGUAGUCC
Molecule: ribosomal RNA, 450 nt
Filed under: uncultured bacterium
Lineage: Bacteria
Description: partial 16S ribosomal RNA
Rfam family: Bacterial small subunit ribosomal RNA
Source: RNAcentral